RNAcentral lists this ribosomal RNA (414 nucleotides) under uncultured Actinomycetes bacterium. Its description in RNAcentral is "bacterial SSU rRNA". It matches the Rfam family "Bacterial small subunit ribosomal RNA", at positions 9 to 428 of the family's 1533-position model. Lineage: Bacteria; Bacillati; Actinomycetota; Actinomycetes. The record is from RNAcentral.
GAGUUUGAUCAUGGCUCAGGACGAACGCUGGCGGCGUGCUUAACACAUGCAAGUCGAACGAUGAACCACUUCGGUGGGGAUUAGUGGCGAACGGGUGAGUAACACGUGGGCAAUCUGCCCUGCGCUCUGGGACAAGCCCUGGAAACGGGGUCUAAUACCGGAUACUGAGCCUCGCAGGCAUCUGUGAGGUUCGAAAGCUCCGGCGGUGCAGGAUGAGCCCGCGGCCUAUCAGCUUGUUGGUGAGGUAAUGGCUCACCAAGGCGACGACGGGUAGCCGGCCUGAGAGGGCGACCGGCCACACUGGGACUGAGACACGGCCCAGACUCCUACGGGAGGCAGCAGUGGGGAAUAUUGCACAAUGGGCGAAAGCCUGAUGCAGCGACGCCGCGUGAGGGAUGACGGCCUCGGUUGUAA